Long non-coding RNA from Neopelma chrysocephalum (saffron-crested tyrant-manakin), 1019 nucleotides. RefSeq lists it as uncharacterized. NCBI's taxonomy places the organism in Eukaryota, Metazoa, Chordata, Aves, Passeriformes, Pipridae. The record is from RefSeq and is a predicted model, not a curated record. The transcript has 3 exons.
UCCAAAGCAUAGCUGUCUGGUCUUCCAAGAAAUCCUCUGUCUGCAAAGGAAAAGGAUCACUGAUGUUUCCACAGAAGGAAGAAUUCCUCCCAUUGCAGUUCCAGGAGUGUGUGAGGGAAGGAAUGAGAAGGGGGGCAGGAGAAGUACACAGGGUCCAUAUGCUAUAAUGUACUUCAGGCUCCAAAUGGGCAUAAUCUGUCCCUUGAUUCCAGUCUCUCAAUUCAUCCUUUAAGUCACAAAUUCAAUGGACCAAAUACAACUUAUCUUUGGAGUAGCCACUGGGAUGAAUUUAGAUCUGGCUGUAUCAGGAACAGUGUCAGAAGAAAAGUGGAUGAAAAUUGUACAAAAAACUCCUUUGUACUCUGCUUCACAGACUUGUGACCAUGACUGAAUUUAUCUUCUGGCUGUUUCCUCAGAUGAGCAUGCCUUUAACUUUUCCUUGGGGCUUAAAAAAGAUUUUUCAACCCAUUUUUCCAUAUCACCACACAUUGUCCUGGAGAUGUCUCAGGAAUAUGUAUGGUGAGGUUCUACAUCCUUAGUCCUCACCAGGAAUGGGAUUGCAAAAGAACAUUCCAACUAUUUUAGGUUAUGGAAAAAGUAAUCAAAUAUUUCACUCACCACUAGAAUGUCAUCGUUUUAUGCAUUUCACAAAGAAUUCUCUCAUUACGUUAGAUAGGCCUGGAGAGACUCCAGUCUCUGUGGGUUGCUUGCAUUCCCCUGUUCUGUUCAGAAAUUAAAAGCCUUAGUCUGCUUUUUAAGAAAUCCAAAGUCACUUGGUGCCCUGCUACUGACCCAAAACUUGAUGGCAAUACACCUGAUUUCUGUUACAAACUGAUUUGGGCUUUUCUGAAUUUGUUCCUCACACAGCUGUGUGCACACCAUUCUCCCCACAUACUUUGAUAAAAAUAACAAUUGCACAUGAAGAAAAAAGAAAACCCAGAAUAAUAAUGACAACAGCAACUGCUUGAGAAAGACUAAUGAGUGCUGCUGAACAGCAGAGCCAUUCACUGACACUGAAU